RNAcentral lists this ribosomal RNA (492 nucleotides) under uncultured bacterium. RNAcentral's name for it is "partial 16S ribosomal RNA". It matches the Rfam family "Bacterial small subunit ribosomal RNA", at positions 29 to 507 of the family's 1533-position model. The record is from RNAcentral.
AGUGAACGCUGGCGGUAGGCCUAACACAUGCAAGUCGAACGGCAGCACAGUAAGAGCUUGCUCUUACGGGUGGCGAGUGGCGGACGGGUGAGGAAUACAUCGGAAUCUACUUUUUCGUGGGGGAUCACGUAGGGAAACUUGCGCUAAUACCGCAUACGACCUACGGGUGAAAGCAGUGGAUCUUCGGACCUUGCGCGAUUGAAUGAGCCGAUGUCGGAUUAGCUAGUUGGCGGGGUAAAGGCCCACCAAGGCGACGAUCCGUAGCUGGUCUGAGAGGAUGAUCAGCCACACUGGAACUGAGACACGGUCCAGACUCCUACGGGAGGCAGCAGUGGGGAAUAUUGGACAAUGGGCGCAAGCCUGAUCCAGCCAUACCGCGUGGGUGAAGAAGGCCUUCGGGUUGUAAAGCCCUUUUGUUGGGAAAGAAAAGCAGCAGGUUAAUACCCCGCUGUUCUGACGGUACCCAAAGAAUAAGCACCGGCUAACUUCGUG